AUGAUGUCACAGACCCAGGUCCUCAUGUCCCUGUUGCUCUGGGUCUCUGGUGCCUGUGGGGACAUCGUGAUGACCCAGUCACCAGGCUCCCUGGCUGCAUCUGCAGGACAGAGGGUCACUAUGACCUGUAAGUCCAGUCAGAACAUUGGUAAAAAUAUAGCCUGGCACCAGCAGGAACCAGGACAGCCUCCUAGACUGCUGAUCUAUGCAGCCUCUAGCCAGGAGUCUGGGGUCCCUGACUGCUUCAGUGGCAGUGGGUCUGGCACAGAUUUCACUCUCACCAUCAGCAGCCUCCAGGCUGAAGAUGUGGCAGAUUACUACUGUCAGCAGGGUUAUAGCUCUGCACCCACAGUGAUUCAGUCUUAA
This is a non-coding RNA of Castor canadensis (American beaver), 366 nucleotides long. Lineage: Eukaryota; Metazoa; Chordata; Mammalia; Rodentia; Castoridae. The record is from the annotation of a RefSeq genome assembly.